This 117-nucleotide ribosomal RNA is filed under the name Escherichia coli. The record is from RNAcentral. Lineage: Bacteria; Pseudomonadati; Pseudomonadota; Gammaproteobacteria; Enterobacterales; Enterobacteriaceae.
CCUGGCGGCCUUAGCGCGGUGGUCCCACCUGACCCCAUGCCGAACUCAGAAGUGAAACGCCGUAGCGCCGAUGGUAGUGUGGGGUCUCCCCAUGCGAGAGUAGGNUAGUUGAUAAUU